AUGGCAGGUGAGUGGAAGGGACGGGACCUCGUUUCUGGAGCAAGAACUUCAGGUGCAGCGAGCUACUGCCAGUCGUUCGUUCCCUCCUGCCCUGCAUGGGACACCUGCACGUCCAGGGAAUUCCUGCUCCCUGAGCCCAGUGAGAGAAGACGCGCGUCGGAGGGCAGCCUGGAGCCAGCAGCCACGGAGCCCGAGGGAGCAGACGAAUUCUGCUGUGAACACAUUCUGCAUCUGUGUGCAACCGUAAUGUGGUCUCACACCAACAUCCCAUGCAUCCCCCAUGACUGUUGUGUUCGUUCAUUCUGGCAGGCAAGUAUUCCCACCCCGGGAAAACUCAGACAUGACAUGCCUUUCUUUCAGUGUUGGGGCUCCCCAACACACCCCUGCUUCAUUGGGCCAUUUCCCAAAGCAAACAUACCUUCCAGCUCUAUCACGCUCCGAGUGGUCAAGCCAUCUGGAAAUGUUCACACGCUGGUAUGAGUCCUGCUAACUCGUGUGAGCCCACCUAGGGAGGAAUGAGCUCUGUUUCUACUGCGGAACCUCACUGAUUUGAGAAAUGGAUGAUGGCACAAGUGCUAAGGGGAAAUCUGACAGGGUCUCUGGGGGGCAGACUGCAGCCCCCACCCCCAAGGGACUUGGCAGGAGUCUUAAGGCCACAGAUCUGGAGAUAAGGAGAUCAUCCUAGAUUCCCCCAUCUAAUCACAGGAGGCUUAACAGCAGAAAGCUUGAUUCAGCUGGAGUGACAGACCCAGCACAGAGAUCAGGCACACCUGAAGCAGGAGGGGUCAGCUCGCCACCACUGGGGGGACCACCAGGGUCUGCUGGGCUCACACCCGGUCAGCUGCAAAGGGACCUCCUCCCAGCCAGCAACUCAGUGAGCCCGCGCUCAGUCAUCCAGAGCCCUCAGACAGGAGAGCAACCUUCAAGUCACCUUGACAUGAGCCCAGUUGAGCCUGGACUUCCCGCCUGCAUAGCGGCAGAAUACAUGGGCUUUGCUUUAAGCUGCUCUCUGGGAGGACAGAUGCUAUGGGAGCAGCAUGCAGUCUGGGUGGCAAGGAGCUGGAGGCUUGGGGUUCCUACAGGGGGUCCCCGAGCUCACCGUGGAAAGAAGCAAAGCCCCCUGGGAUGCCCACCCUUCCCACCGCCAAGCUUCUCCCGCGCAGACACACUCGCUGAGCUGACAGAGCAGGUCCUGCGGUGGGCCGGCCCCCCGUGGUUCUAUUUAUACGGCCUGUAUGCAAACGAGGACUUGGGGAAACCCAGCAUGUGAUUGGGUUACAGAGCAUAUGUAAAUAGCCAGAGGCAGCUCUGCUCUCUGAUUGGAUAAGAUUGCUGGGGAAGUCAGCCAACCAGAGCAGAGAUGGCCCUAGACACCCUCCAAGAAGCGCUGCUCCGGGCCCUCCCCGGAGAGCCGGGCGCUUGACUGGGGGAAGUGGAGGCUGUAGCUGGGAUUCCUGAUGGUUUUUAUUGUUUUGUUUUAAAAAAAAUUUUUUUAAUUUAAGUUCAAUUUGCCAAUAUAUAGUAUAACGCCCAGUGCUCAUCCCAUCACGCGCCCGCCUAAGUGCCCGUCACCUGGUGCUGAUGAAUUCACGGGGCCUUAUGGUGAUGAAGCCCCAGUAGGACGGCAGUGGUGAAAUCCAUCACCUUCCGACUGACAAAGAAAUCCAGUAUCAUCUUUAUUCCGGAAUAUCAGAGAAUGGAGAGGAAGAGGGUUUGGGCGUGUUUUCGUGGUUUUUCGUUGUUGUUGUUGUUGUUGUUGUUUGUUAGUAUUUUUAGGGAAACGAUAUACACUUCAACGUAUAUGAGAAUAUCAAAUACCUGGGCAUCCCAGAGCAGUGUUUGCAGAGUGUGGUCUUGGGCCAACAUCAGGUCACCUGGGGAUUCGUUAGGAAUGCAAACUCGGGUCACUCCAGACCCAUUGAGUCACCAAGGGAAUGAGGCCCAGCUCUCUGCUCAGAUGCAUGUUAAUGUUUGAGAGCCAAACAAACUAGAUUGAACGGGCUCACUCAGAAAUUGAGCCACGUACUAAAUUAUCUGUCCUGUCUGCAAAUGAGUCAGUAAAAAAAUCGAAUGGCAAAAAUUUCUCUCAUUAUAUUAAAUAAGAUAAACAAGGAUACUCUUGGAAAAAGUGGGAUUCUUUUCAUGAAAAUAGAAAGCUCACUGAGAGGUUGAUAGAAAGAGACCUGCUUCCUUGGCUAUUAAAAUAAAUUUGAAAAAAAAAUCUAUUUUCUCCUAAACUGAUCUAUAAAUUCAACAUAAUCCCAUUAGGAUUUUAUCUGUCAUUUGGAAAGGGGAUAAAAGUUGUGAAGAUCCUAUACAAGGAAAUAGAGAGACAACAGAUAAAUUCUUUAAAAGAAUAAGACUUUUCUAUAUACAAGACCAUAUUGGGAUGCCUGGAUGGCUCAGCAGUUGAGUGUCUGCCUUUGGCUCAGGUCCUGACCCUGGGGUCCUGGGAUUGAGUCCCACAUUGGGCUCCUUGCAUGGAGCCUGCUUCUCCCUCUGCUUAUGUCUCUGCCUCUCUCUCUCUCUGUCUUUCAUGAAUACAUUUUUUAAAAUAUUUUUUAAAAAGACCAUACUAUCUGCAAACAGGGGAAGUUUGAUUUUCUUCCUUUCCAAAAUGGAUGUUCUUUAUACUUAAGAUCUCAGGGAUGUCACCGAACUGUUUUUAAUCUAGGUUAACAAUGGUUUUCUAACAUUUUUUUCUUGUAAAUAUCUCUCCUAAAAGAAAGUUCUCCUUUGGACUGAGAUUGAGUGUACGUCUUGCAGUAAGACCGUAGUACAGCUCUAAUAUGUGCUCAUAGCUAAAUUGCUGGUAAUCAUUUCAAACACAGUGGGGAUUUUUAAAGGGCUGAAGUAUUGAAAAAAAAAAUGCCAGGCCUCCUGGCAAAUUACUGUUAAACUAGUAAGAAACAUAAAAUACUACUGAUAAAUUCCACAAAAUAAAGAAUGCAGGAAAACCUCAUUUUUUCCUUCUGAAAAAAAAAGUAGAAUGCUGUUAUUACAAUGGAUAAAGAUGACCCACCGACAGCACCCCCCACCCAAAAGUACAGACUAGCAUCACUUAUAAAUAAGGACAGAAAGAUUCUACCUUAAAUAUUAGCUGAUUGAUUCCAGGAUCGUGAAAGAAUGACAACGGCAAAUUUGAAUUUCUUGAAAGAAUGAUAGAAUGGUUCAGUAUUAUCGGGAAUAUAAGUCACCUCACUUAGAUCCAAAGAGAAAAGGCUUAUGAGUAUCAUUAAUCUUUUAUCAUUUUUUUAAAAAUUAAUCAUCUGUAAGUUAGGAUCAGUGGAAGCCCAGAAUCAUUUUGCCGGGAAGUUCCUUUAGUAUGGCUACUGUUAGAGCUGGAAACAAAUCAGAGAAGCCCCUCAUUUCAUCUCUAUUCACCUGCAUUCUGGAAAUGUCCUCUGUCAUUCAGUACUGAGUGAAGAACCGACUUCUAACAGGUACCCAACAUGCAGAAACAACAAGGAAUGACAGAUUACAGUUACACAAAUACAAGUCAACUGCGCCAAUGCAGUAGUCAACUACGAGCAAGGAACAGAAAAUGUAAUAAGGAAACCCAUUCGGGGAUCCCUGGGUGGCUCAGCGAUUUAGCGCCUGCCUUCGGCCCAGGGCAUUAUCCUGGAAUCCUGGGAUCAAGUCCCAGGACAGACUCCCUGAAGGGAGACUGCUUCUCCUUCUGCCUAUCUCUGACCCUCUCUCUGUGUCUCUCAUGAAUAAAUAAAUAAAAUAUUUUUUUAAAAGGAAACCAAUUCAAUAUAGCCAAAUAAAUACAUAAAUACAUCAAAAUUAAAAUAUUUUUAAAAAAUUUAAACCUACAAAUAACCUUGAUGAAAAUGUGUGCAGAAUGGAAUGAAGAAAUGUCUGUAAGUCUAUAGAUGGUUAAACACGAUUGAAAGAAACAGAAGAUGGGUCAGUUGGUGGAGCGUGUGACUCUUGAUCUCAGGGUUGGGGGCUCAAGCCCCAUGCUGAGUGUAGAGACGACUUAAAAAUAAAAUUAAAAAAAAAAAAAAAGGAGCAGUCGAAGGUCCUGUGUCAUCAGACACCAGAAUGAAAGCUGGAGGGAUCUCUGGAGAGAGCCGCUGGUUCUGACACAUGUUCGGCCGUUCUGAAACCUCACUUGGAGCUGGUGUACUUGGUGACAGGCUUGGACCCUGGAUCCAGUGUGCCUGGCCAGCUCAUCUGCCCCUCAAAGGAUGAGACAGUGGAAUGGCCUGGGGGAGCAUGCUCUAAAGGAGGUGCCAUCCAUAGAAGCAUUCAUCUCUCCUAAAAUACUUAAAAAUUCAAUGGCCUGUACCCUAUACAAUCCAACCCAGUUUUCCUGACUUCACUGAUGUGCCCUGGCCCCUCCUCCAGCUCACCACCACCCCUACUAAGAAAGCUGCAUUCAUUUCUUCUAGCAUGCUCUCAAAUGCACCAGCCCCAUGUUCAAGGAGGCUUUUGUUUCAUUUAUUUUCACAUUUGUCUGAAAAGGUAUGUAUUAGUUAGGCUGCUGCCUAGAAAUAGAAUUAAUAAGAUAUAUAGAUAUGCACAUAUAGGUAUGUUCCUUUUAUGAAGCCAUUUAAUAAAAAAUAGAUACAUGUAUUACACAUAUAUAAUUAUUGGCUCUGAGUCUGAAGGUCAGAGAUCGAGGAGCACCAAAGACAACAAGGAUGUCCUGGCUCCUCAGCCAGACAAAGGGGGCCAGCUCCUGCUUCCUCCUUCUCUCCAGGCCCUCAGCGGCCUGGGUGGUGCCCCUCUACCCCCGCAUUGGGGUGAGCCAUGUGCUAUUCCGAGGCCACCCAUUCACCAGUGAAUCUCAUGCAGAAACAUAGACGCACCCAGAAUCAUGUGCAAUCCAGGCACCCUACAGAACAUCAAGCCUCCCCAUAAAAUGAAGCGACACCAGGUGCUUUCUGCAUUCCCGAAUUUUUCUAGGUGGCCCAGUGAUGAGCAGAAUUAGGGUCCAUGUGCUCUGGUCAGGCCCACCCCACCUCUCCUGGGCCCUGUGCCAAUGUUGGACUCCGUGGUCUUCCUUAAGGUGAAUGUCAGCAAAGAGAAGAAAGCAUCCUCAGGUCCAGGGGGUCGUCACCUGGACGGGGCCGGGACGGCAACCCUAAGGUGAACCUGGCUAUAAGCUGACCAUCUAACCAUGGCUGGCAUGUCCCUCCCUUA
This 5154-nucleotide long non-coding RNA is filed under the name Canis lupus familiaris (dog). Its description in RNAcentral is "lncRNA (ENSCAFG00040008299.1)". Lineage: Eukaryota; Metazoa; Chordata; Mammalia; Carnivora; Canidae. The record is from RNAcentral.